This is a non-coding RNA of Leptonychotes weddellii (Weddell seal), 392 nucleotides long. NCBI's taxonomy places the organism in Eukaryota, Metazoa, Chordata, Mammalia, Carnivora, Phocidae. The record is from the annotation of a RefSeq genome assembly.
AUUCACUGAUCAGGACAGAACACAGACAACUCACCAUGGAGUUUAGGCUGACCUGGGUUUUCCUGGUUGCUCUUUUAAAAGGUGUCCAGUGUGAGGUGCAGCUGGUGGAGUCUGGGGGAGACCUGGUGAAGCCUGGUGGGUCCCUGAGACUCUCCUGUGCUGCCUCUGGAUUCACUUUCAGCAGCUACUACAUGUACUGGGUCCGCCAGGCUCCAGGAAAGGGGCUGCAGUGGGUCGCAGCUAUUAGCUAUGAUGGAAGUAGCACAAGAUAUGCAGACUCUGUGAAGGGCCAAUUCACCAUCUCCAGAGACAACGGCAAGAACACACUGUAUCUGCAGAUGAACAGCCUGAGAACAGAGGACACAGCUGUGUAUUACUGUGCAAAGGACACA